Molecule: ribosomal RNA, 253 nt
Filed under: uncultured Bacteroides sp.
Lineage: Bacteria; Pseudomonadati; Bacteroidota; Bacteroidia; Bacteroidales; Bacteroidaceae
Description: partial 16S ribosomal RNA
Rfam family: Bacterial small subunit ribosomal RNA
Source: RNAcentral
UACGGAGGAUACGAGCGUUAUCCGGAUUUAUUGGGUUUAAAGGGAGCGUAGGUGGAUUGUUAAGUCAGUUGUGAAAGUUUGCGGCUCAACCGUAAAAUUGCAGUUGAAACUGGCAGUCUUGAGUACAGUAGAGGUGGGCGGAAUUCGUGGUGUAGCGGUGAAAUGCAUAGAUAUCACACAGAACACCGAUUGCGAAGGCAUCUGACGAAUCGGAGAUUGACGCUGAUGCACGAAAGCGUGGGUAUCGAACAGG